GACAGAGGCCUCAAGCGUUAGGCGGAAUCACUGGGCUUAAAGCGUGUGUAGGCGGAUCGUUAAGUGUCUUGUGAAAUCCCACGGCUCACCCGUGGAACUGCUGGGCAUACUGGCGAUCUUGGGCCAACUAGGGGCAACUGGAACAAAUGGUGGAGCGGUGAAAUGCGUAGAUAUCAUUUGGAACGCCAAUGGUGAAAACAGGUAGCUGGGGCUGUGCUGACACUGAGACACGAAAGCCAGGGGAGCAAACGGG
This 253-nucleotide ribosomal RNA is filed under the name uncultured bacterium. Its description in RNAcentral is "partial 16S ribosomal RNA". It matches the Rfam family "Bacterial small subunit ribosomal RNA", at positions 524 to 776 of the family's 1533-position model. The record is from RNAcentral.